Long non-coding RNA from Columba livia (rock pigeon), 450 nucleotides. RefSeq lists it as uncharacterized. NCBI's taxonomy places the organism in Eukaryota, Metazoa, Chordata, Aves, Columbiformes, Columbidae. The transcript has 2 exons. The record is from RefSeq and is a predicted model, not a curated record.
CUCUUCUGGACACGUCCCCCCACGGGCCCCCCGCCGUGGCGCCGGGCUGCGCCUCCGCUCCCCCACACAGCGGCUGCUCCUGGGGGAGGGGGCGCUGGGGACCCCGAGCCCGGCACAGCCCGGCCCUGGGCGAGGCCGCCAGCGAGUCCCUGCCUGCGCCGGCCCGGCUGGUUUGGCGAGCUGUGCCGCGCCGGCUGCGCCGCGCUGCGGGGGGGCACCGGCACCGGCAUUGAGACCAGCACGGGAGCCGGACCAGGUCUGGGUUAAACCGAUUAAAACCACCUGUCCCUGCCGCCCCCCCGCCCAGGGCAGCCCCCCCAGACCGACGGGGGCGGGACGAGCUCCGGGUGACACGGGUUCACCCCCGGGACGUCGCUGGUGGGGGGGACACAGACCAGGACACCCCAGACAGAAUAAAUAAAUAAACCCGGGCGGGGGGGGACACACACA